UACGGGGGGGGCAAGCGUUGUUCGGAAUUACUGGGCGUAAAGGGCUCGUAGGCGGCCAACUAAGUCAGACGUGAAAUCCCUCGGCUUAACCGGGGAACUGCGUCUGAUACUGGUUGGCUUGAAUCCGGGAGAGGGAUGUGGAAUUCCAGGUGUAGCGGUGAAAUGCGUAGAUAUCGUGAGGAAGACCAGUGGCGAAGGCGAGUCUCUGGACAGCAACUGACGCUGAGGCACGAAGGCCAGGGGAGCAAACGGG
This 253-nucleotide ribosomal RNA is filed under the name uncultured bacterium. RNAcentral describes it as "partial 16S ribosomal RNA". It matches the Rfam family "Bacterial small subunit ribosomal RNA", at positions 524 to 776 of the family's 1533-position model. The record is from RNAcentral.